This 219-nucleotide ribosomal RNA is filed under the name uncultured bacterium. Its description in RNAcentral is "partial 16S ribosomal RNA". It matches the Rfam family "Bacterial small subunit ribosomal RNA", at positions 524 to 740 of the family's 1533-position model. The record is from RNAcentral.
UACAGAGGUCUCAAGCGUUUGUUCGGAUUCAUUGGGCGUAAAGGGUGCGUAGGUGGCGCCGUAAGUCAGGUGUGAAAUUUCGGAGCUUAACUCCGAAACUGCAUUUGAUACUGCGGUGCUUGAGGACUGGAGAGGAGACUGGAAUUUACGGUGUAGCAGUGAAAUGCGUAGAGAUCGUAAGGAAGACCAGUGGCGAAGGCGGGUCUCUGGACGAGUUCC